RNAcentral lists this ribosomal RNA (442 nucleotides) under uncultured bacterium. RNAcentral describes it as "partial 16S ribosomal RNA". It matches the Rfam family "Bacterial small subunit ribosomal RNA", at positions 338 to 795 of the family's 1533-position model. The record is from RNAcentral.
CCUACGGGAGGCAGCAGUAGGGAAUCUUUCACAAUGGGCGAAAGCCUGAUGGAGCAACGCCGCGUGCAGGAUGAAGGCCUUCGGGUUGUAAACUGCUUUUAUAAGCGAGAAAUAUGAUGGUAACUUAUGAAUAAGGAUCGGCUAACUACGUGCCAGCAGCCGCGGUCAUACGUAGGAUCCGAGCAUUAUCCGGAGUGACUGGGUGUAAAGAGUUGCGUAGGUGACAUAAUAAGUAGCUAGUGAAAUCUGGUGGCUCAACCAUUCAGACUAUUAGCUAAACUGUUAAGCUCGAGACCGUUAGGGGUAACUGGAAUGUCUAGUGUAGGAGUGAAAUCCGUAGAUAUUAGAAGGAACACCAAUAGCGUAGGCAGGUUGCUGGGACGGUUCUGACACUAAGGCACGAAAGCGUAGGGAGCAAACGGGAUUAGAUACCCCAGUAGUC